UGCUGUUUUUCUUGCGUAUACGGUUUGGAUAAUCAAACCAUCAUCAGGAUGUGGCCCUUUUAGGAAGCUAACCAGUAUGUUGGAGUCUGUGAACCUGUGGGCUGAGAGGAUGAAGGACUAUCACCAAAUUCUUUCUUGGCUCAUUCGAGCUUACAAAGCUUUCACAGAUAACCCAAUCUUCUUGUUCAUGCCCUCUGGUGUAUUUCUACUGCUAAUAUAUUUCCGUAUUCAGGUAGUAGAUGGCCAAAGGAAAAUCAUCAGACGGUUAGAAAAGCAAAUUGACGAUGAAAGUAAAGACAAAAAAUUCCUCAUAAGCCAACUGCAGUAUUGGUAUGAGGAAAACAAUCCAAAUUCUACUAAGAGAUACAGGUGAACUGGGUUCACUU
This is a long non-coding RNA of Gambusia affinis (western mosquitofish), 386 nucleotides long. RefSeq lists it as uncharacterized. The record is from RefSeq and is a predicted model, not a curated record. The transcript is spliced from 4 exons. NCBI's taxonomy places the organism in Eukaryota, Metazoa, Chordata, Actinopteri, Cyprinodontiformes, Poeciliidae.